Molecule: unclassified non-coding RNA, 309 nt
Organism: Fukomys damarensis (Damara mole-rat)
Lineage: Eukaryota; Metazoa; Chordata; Mammalia; Rodentia; Bathyergidae
Gene: 7SK
Rfam family: 7SK RNA
About the family: 7SK was discovered as an abundant small nuclear RNA in the mid-70s but a possible function has only recently been suggested.
Source: Ensembl
GGAUGUGAGGGUGACCUGGCUGUGAAAUCUGCUCCCAUUGAUUGCCAGGGUUGAUUCAGCAGAUCUGGCUGGCUAGGCAGGUGUCCCCUUCCUCCCUCACCACUCCAUGUACAACCCUCCAGAAGCUGUGCACUCAGUUGAAGAGUUCAAGCACUCCUGAUAGAUGAGGACUAUUUCCUUGGUCAAGGGUAUAUGAGUAGCUGCGCUCCCUUGCCAGAACCUCCAAACAAUCUGCCAAACUGCCAAAGAUUAAAACUAGACCCUUAUCUUUCAUCAUGCACUAAACUAAAAUCCAAGUGGAUUAAAGAU